RNAcentral lists this long non-coding RNA (690 nucleotides) under Prunus persica (peach). Its description in RNAcentral is "long non-coding RNA (PPER_LNC003759)". Lineage: Eukaryota; Viridiplantae; Streptophyta; Magnoliopsida; Rosales; Rosaceae. The record is from RNAcentral.
UUUACGUGGCCUUGAUUGCUGGCAUGUUGGGCUCCAUAAAUUUACCAAUCCAUGCAAUAUUCAACCUGAAAUUCCGCCUAAGAUAUUGCAUGGCCAAAAUUUUCACGUUCAAAUGCGUGGGUUUGGAAAUGGAAUUUGAACUAAAAUGUCAAAAUUUCAGUUUUCUCCCCGUAGUUGGAGAUGGUCUAAGAUUGUUGUUUGUGAUUUACGAGUGAGAGAGACCCACACACCUAAAUUCAUAAUUAUAAUAUACUAUAUUAAAUUCACUCAUCCAAUCAUAGCAGUAGUAGUAAAUUAAUAUAGCCUAAGCCUAGUACGUGUCACGCAGAAAGGGACCCAUCAGCAUUCAAAAAACUUUUAUGUUCAAUUAGGGUUGCUCUUGGAUUCCUCACGGUGCAAAAACUUUCUUGAGUUUGAAUCACCGGAUAUGGUCUAGUUUAGUAGAAAAUAGUAUUGACUUGUAGAUCAGUAGUCUUAUAUUCGAAAUUUCAUGACAUUUUGACAGUGUGUAUGAGAAUCCUCUUUCUAACUUUGAGAAAAAAAAAAAAAAGAAUCAUCGAACUAUUUGUAUAUUGCCCACAAUGGCCAUUCUUUGUUUUGAGAAAAAUAAAUAUUUGGUUGUGACAGUUAUAAUAUAAAUUCAUUAGUAACACCAUGUAGCCUCUCCACAAAAAGGAUCAACGAGAAGCC